Molecule: ribosomal RNA, 437 nt
Filed under: uncultured bacterium
Lineage: Bacteria
Description: bacterial SSU rRNA
Rfam family: Bacterial small subunit ribosomal RNA
Source: RNAcentral
ACGCGUGGAACCUUACCAGGUCUUGACAUCCCUCUGACCGGUAUAGAGAUAUACCUUUCCUUCGGGACAGAGGAGACAGGUGGUGCAUGGUUGUCGUCAGCUCGUGUCGUGAGAUGUUGGGUUAAGUCCCGCAACGAGCGCAACCCUUGAUCUUAGUUGCCAGCAUUAAGUUGGGCACUCUAAGGUGACUGCCGGUGACAAACCGGAGGAAGGUGGGGAUGACGUCAAAUCAUCAUGCCCCUUAUGACCUGGGCUACACACGUGCUACAAUGGAUGGUACAAAGGGCAGCAAAACCGCGAGGUCGAGCAAAUCCCAUAAAACCAUUCUCAGUUCGGAUUGUAGGCUGCAACUCGCCUACAUGAAGCUGGAAUCGCUAGUAAUCGCGGAUCAGCAUGCCGCGGUGAAUACGUUCCCGGGCCUUGCACUCACCGCCCGU